ACUUCAUCACUCUUAUUUUUUUCAACUUCCACACUUUCUUUAUUUUCUACUUCACCAUUUUUUUCAUUCUUUUCAACUUCUUCCUCACUCCACUCCCCAACUUCAACAUCAAUGUUAUCCUCUAUUUUUUUCUCCUCAUCUUUUUUCUCAUCCUCUCUUUUUUCACUCUCACUAAUCAACUCCCUUCCACUUCUCGUCGUUAUCGCUUUACAAUGCUCUUUUGAAUUUGUUUG
This 233-nucleotide long non-coding RNA is filed under the name Lathyrus oleraceus (garden pea). RNAcentral describes it as "Pisum sativum (pea) long non-coding RNA (PSAT_LNC009281)". Lineage: Eukaryota; Viridiplantae; Streptophyta; Magnoliopsida; Fabales; Fabaceae. The record is from RNAcentral.